GGUGACAUAAGCGUUUUACUUACCAUUGCCAUUUUGAGUCAUUUGAGCAUUGUGUACGUUGCUCCGGCGCCGUUGUUAAGCUCUGCAUUAACAUAAACAGAGAAAUGUCGAUUCUAUGCGCUGGAGAAGGCGCACCGACUGGACCCAAGCUCCAGCGGCCGUGGUGUUCGUCAGUUCAAGACUGGCCUCCUUCAGAGAUUAGAGAGGGAUAAUAACUCAAGUCUUCCUGCUCGGGUCAAAAAGACUGAUGCUCGGGAAAUUGAGAGCUUCUACAAACAAUACUAUGAGAAAUAUGUUGUGGCACUUAGCAAGGGGGAACAAGCGGAUAGAGCUCAGCUUGGCAAAGCUUACCAGGCAGCUGGAGUGCUGUUUGAAGUGCUUUGUGCUGUUAACAAGACUGAAAAAGUCGAGGAAGUUGCUCCUGAGGUU
This is a long non-coding RNA of Olea europaea var. sylvestris, 429 nucleotides long. RefSeq lists it as uncharacterized. NCBI's taxonomy places the organism in Eukaryota, Viridiplantae, Streptophyta, Magnoliopsida, Lamiales, Oleaceae. The transcript has 4 exons. The record is from RefSeq and is a predicted model, not a curated record.